RNAcentral lists this transfer RNA (63 nucleotides) under Chrysochus chinensis. RNAcentral describes it as "tRNA-Leu". Lineage: Eukaryota; Metazoa; Arthropoda; Insecta; Coleoptera; Chrysomelidae. The record is from RNAcentral.
CUAAUAUGGCAGAAUAGUGUAUUGGAUUUAAGCUCCAAAAAUAAAGUUAUACUUUUUUUAGAA